GCGACACUGAGAUUUCCCCCAAACGCUUCACAACAACUCUCAAAAUAUUGUUUCAUGAAUUGCUUGAAGGGAAUUCCUGGCAGUGUCGU
RNAcentral lists this microRNA precursor (89 nucleotides) under Oryza sativa Indica Group (long-grained rice). RNAcentral describes it as "mir-395 microRNA precursor". RNAcentral also lists the same sequence under 1 other name. Lineage: Eukaryota; Viridiplantae; Streptophyta; Magnoliopsida; Poales; Poaceae. The record is from RNAcentral.